Molecule: ribosomal RNA, 253 nt
Filed under: uncultured bacterium
Lineage: Bacteria
Description: partial 16S ribosomal RNA
Rfam family: Bacterial small subunit ribosomal RNA
Source: RNAcentral
UACGUAGGGUGCAAGCGUUAAUCGGAAUUACUGGGCGUAAAGCGUGCGCAGGCGGUGCUGUAAGACAGGUGUGAAAUCCCCGGGCUUAACCUGGGAACUGCAUUUGUGACUGCAUCGCUGGAGUGCGGAAGAGGGGGAUGGAAUUCCGCGUGUAGCAGUGAAAUGCGUAGAUAUGCGGAGGAACACCGAUGGCGAAGGCAAUCCCCUGGGCCUGCACUGACGCUCAUGCACGAAAGCGUGGGGAGCAAACAGG